UACAGAGGUGGCAAGCGUUGUUCGGAAUUACUGGGCGUAAAGGGCGCGUAGGCGGCCUUGUAAGUCCUGUGUGAAAUCCCCCGGCUCAACUGGGGAACUGCACAGGAGACUGCUUGGCUUGAGUUCGGGAGAGGGAAGCGGAAUUCCGGGUGUAGCGGUGAAAUGCGUAGAUAUCGAGAGGAACACCUGCGGCGAAGGCGGGUUGCUGGGCUGACACGUGACGCUGAGGCGCGAAAGCUAGGGGAGCGAACGGG
This 254-nucleotide ribosomal RNA is filed under the name uncultured bacterium. RNAcentral describes it as "partial 16S ribosomal RNA". It matches the Rfam family "Bacterial small subunit ribosomal RNA", at positions 524 to 776 of the family's 1533-position model. The record is from RNAcentral.